Sorghum bicolor (sorghum) is the source of this 1224-nucleotide long non-coding RNA. RefSeq lists it as uncharacterized. The record is from RefSeq and is a predicted model, not a curated record. The transcript is spliced from 3 exons. NCBI's taxonomy places the organism in Eukaryota, Viridiplantae, Streptophyta, Magnoliopsida, Poales, Poaceae.
CCCCCUUCUCUUCCCUACCUUUCUCUCCUUCUCCAUCAAAAUAGAGUGCAUCGGUGAUUAGAACUGAAUUCAUCCUCUUGUUUUCCUUCCCAAGAACACAGCAAGGAUUUGGGAGAGAUCAUUGCUGUUGUUCCUUUCCUGUAACAGGAGUGAUGAUCAUCCUGCUGCGAUAGAAGCCACUCCGAUCAGCAGCAAUGCGAGUCGAUUGUCCUGCCAUAUCAUGUCGUCAUCGCCACCGUUCUUGUACAGCAUGUGAUCAUCUCGAAGGUCGAAUUAUCUAUGUCGUCUCUAUGAACGUGCUGCUAGCAUCGAUCCCAGUGGCCACGUUGACGCUGCCGCUGGCUCUCAACAAACAGCAAGGACUUUGAGGAUGCACUCAUGAUCAUCUCCGGCGCCAAGAUGUAGCUGUAGUACCCCUGCUGUUACACAUAAGCAGCAGCCCUGCAUCUACCUUUCAUUGUCACUGCCACUGAUAGUUUCCUCCUUGCCACCACGAAAGUCCAAUGUGAGCAAUCAACAUCAUUUGUAUCUUUUAUGUUGAUCCCAAUUGCAAUACACGCACCCUAGUUCAUAUUUGAUAGAAUUCCGGCAAAGUAUCACUGCAAUUGUGUUGCUGUCCAUUUUGGACAGCAGUGCUGCUGCCGGUUACCGUUCACAUUCCCAGUGAUCCAUGCCUCUAGUCAUCAAACCUUUUGAUCAUGAUAUAGAUCUUGAUGUUUUACACACCUCUACAAAUCAGUUUGGUCAUAGGAGCCAUGGUGCCGGAGUUAUUGAUAUCGUUGUGCUUGCUGCUCCUGCAUCUAUGCAGCAGCACCCUUGCCGAUUGGCAUACAUAUUCUGGGCAAUCCACAACUCCAUUUGACAAUCCCUUGGAUCCACAAAUGUAUCAUAUAUUUGCCCACGUCUCUGUAAAUUUUUAUGGCCAUAGAAUCUAAGAUGAAAGGGAUAUUCACUUCUUCUUAUGCUCACUGUCCCUGCUGCCCUGCAGCAGCAUUCCUGCCGGUUGGCAUGCAUGUUCCCAUUAUUCCCUCGCUCCACUGACCAUGUUGUUCGACCACAGUGUGUUUUAUAUCCUUGCACACACACCUAAGAAAUUUCAUGGCAAUAGGAUUCAAGAUAAAAGAGAUAUCAUUUUUCUUGUGCUCGCUGUCUUUGCUGCCCUGCAGCCGCGCUGCAGCCGAUUGGCGAGUACGUUCCCGAAAAUCCACUACUACGUUUGUCAAA